Molecule: long non-coding RNA, 454 nt
Organism: Pan troglodytes (chimpanzee)
Lineage: Eukaryota; Metazoa; Chordata; Mammalia; Primates; Hominidae
Exons: 3
Source: RefSeq, a predicted model, not a curated record
GCUGACCCGAGGCAAGGGAGCCGGCGCACUCACCCUUAGCCGCUAAGGAGUCUGCGGUGUCGGCGAAAGCUCCGGACAUGAUUUUGGAAGAUACGGGGUUUCUCCAUUUUGAUGUCAGACUGGUCUCGAACUCCCGACCUCAGGUGAUCCACCCGCCUCGGCCCCCCAAAGUGCUGGCAUUACAAGCGAGAUACCUGAGUGAGGCAUGGUAAACCAGUCCCAGCAGACCACUCUCUGAAGAUGUUGGCUUGAUAUGUGCUGGAAGAUGAAAAAGCAUACAGAAUGCAGGACAACAUAAAGAAAAUAGAACCGAGAAGUUAUGCUAAGUAUAUAAACAAACCAAGAGUAUGGAUUGGAAUGCUGUUUUCUUUGGACAGAUCAAUGUUCUUUUGGAAAGAUAGAAUGAAGCUGAAUAAGUUGCAGAAAAGGUCAAAUAAAAUGAUUGUGUCCAAAA